GCGCGCGGGGUUGGCUGCCGGGAGGUCGACGCUAGUGCGGUCCCCCGCGCGGCGGAGGGGCCCGGGCCGCGGUAUCUGCGCACUGAGACGUCGGCGGAAGGCUAGAGGCCGUGCUCUCGCCCCCGCAGAAGGCCACCACUCCUUGAGAAGGCCGGAGGGACAAAGCACCGGGCCUGCGCCGGGGGCAUUCAAGAAGGAAGCCAGGCCCGACCGGGGGUGGCGCACGCUUCCCGAACCCCAGGCCCACGGCCCGGUUCCGCGCGGGCAGUUGGCGCCCCCUCGGGUCGGCACAGCAGACCUCUUAGUAAUGGUCCCCAGGGAGUGUGAGUGGGUCCCCGCCAAUCUUUUAAGGUUCAGAGAUCCACCGUCGAACGAAGCCGCUUUUACAACUUCCCCAUUUAGCCUCUUUCCUCCCCCGCCGCUGGCUAAAGCGCUGAACCUUGCCAUCCUCCUGGGGUGCCUAACGAUUUGCCCUGCCUUGGACAGCCAGUCCUCUUCAGGUGGUGGGCUGCUGGUAGGGGUAGGAAGCAAGGCCUGGGGCACAGUUGGGGACCCUCACACCUGAUUUUCUGUUUUAAGGAGGAACUGGGUUUCAAAAAGCUGUAGAGUCAGUGGGAGUUUCCUUUUGUGGCCCUUGGCACUUUUUAAAACACCCAUCUGCAAGGCGGGAACAGCGGAGAAAGUGCUAUGUAGUUCAUAAAAAGGAUAUUGGGAGACUGUUAUCUUAAGAGUUUUUCUAGAGAUUGUUUUGUAAUCUCUCAGUUUAGAGAGUUGAUAUGUCCCGCGCCAUCAGCCCGCUGAAUGGGAUCUUCCUUCAGACAGGGACUGAGAAACGGAAAUACUACCAUCCUCCAGCCAAUCUGUUGGGAGGACUGCUUGCAGAGGACUCGUGCUCCAGAUGUUGCACUAGAGGCGCUGCAAGUGUGAGCAGCAGGUAGAUGAAACUCAAGAGAAAAGGUGUGGAUAAAUGAAACUAGCCCAUGAUGAACCUGUUUUCUCCGUGACCACAAUAUUAACCAGGAUGAAUGGCGGUGGCAGUGGGCCUGCAUCACAGGUUGCAGCAGAUGUUCUCAAUAUUUCUAUUAAAAUUUCCUUAUUUCCAUAUGCAAGAGGAGCCCCAGAGCUGCAUCCUUAUGGUAGCUACCAUGCCGUGAUGUAAGCUGCCAUUCACUGGGGAGCUUUGGCAAUAGAAUUGGCUAGAUCAGGAAGCCUAUGUCAACUAUGGAACAACAACUUGCAGCUCAUCUCUAUUGAUGAUACACUGCCUCUAGGACUGGGACAGAUAGCCACUGAGUACCUGCUUCAAAUCACCCUGCACGUUUUCUCUUUGGAAAGAUAAGCACUGGAGAACCAUCUCGUUACCUUCAGCAGAAAUGGAAACAAAUCAAGACAUUAAGAAUGCCGCAGUGGACAGCAGUUAUGCAAGGUUCAGCAGAGGAAGUUUUCAAGAUGGUGUGCCUCACUAGCCAGAAAUCAGAAAAGAUCGAAGCUAGCCUUUUCAUCUCAGCUGCUCCUUAAAUCAGUGCAACCCCUCCAAAUUAAUGUGAAUUGAAACUUGCAUUGCUUUUCAACUUAAUUGAAUACUUACUAUAUGUGAACCACUGCACAAAAUAGGGGAAGAAGAUGUGGGAGACAAAGAUGUGGAGCCUGUCUUCAAUAAAUUUACAGUUAGUUUCAGGGUACAUUGUUUUUCUUCUGCUGUUAAUUAGGUGUAUCCCCAAGACAAUAAAUACAUGAAUGGAAAAGUAUAUUCUGUGUUUUAAGUCUCUUUAAUAAAAAACAAAACAAAAUCCAAAAAAACUCCUAACAUGGCAACUCAGGACAUUUUAAUCCUUUUUUUUGUUGUUGGGCUUCUGAUAGGAUCCAUUUUAUUGAUUCCAUAAAUAUUUAGUAGACUUUAGACAUAUUAAUACAUUGUAGUUUGAGUUAAUUUGCAUUAAAUUCUGUUUUUUUCCCCUUAGGUAUAGAUUGUCUGUUGGAAAAAUAUAUUGCUUGUGGAUUUCUUGGGGAGUGGGAAGGUGAAUUAUACCUGUUGUCUCUACAGUCCACUACCUUCCACACCCUAGGGCAGUGGUCCCCAACCUUCUUGGCACCAGGGAUCAGUUUCCUGGAAGACAAUUUUUCUGUGGAUGGUGUGGGGAUGGUUUUGGGAUGGAACUGUUCCACCUCAGAUCAUCAGGCAUUAGUUAGGCUCUCAUAACGAGUGCGCAGCCUAGAUCCCUCACAUGCACAGUUCACAGUAGGGUUUGCGCUGCUAUGAGAAUCUAAGGCUGCCACUGAUCUGACAGGAGGCAGAACUCAGGUGGCAAUGCUUACUGGCCCACUGCUCACCUCUUGCUGUGCGGCCUGGUUCCUAAUAGGCCAUGGACCCCCACAGACGGGUACUAGUCUGCAGCCUGUGGACCCCAGCCCUAGGGGCCUGCCAUUCUGAGUGAGUUAUUAGCAUGAAGAAGAGGAAGAUCUGGAUCAAACGUGGGUGAUGGUACUCAGAGACCCAAGAUAGGAUAGGGAUGGAACAAAAUCCAUCUGGGCAACGGCUCUAUGAAAAUUUGGCUAAGUAAUUAUUUCAGUAUUCAUUGUAUUCAUUGUCCUUCGUGUUCCAUAAGUUAAAUGACUGUCUAAUUUUUCCAAAAAUUUAUUUCUGACUUGAGAAUAAGUGUGUCAUGAUUUUCCCAGUGUAAAGACACUGAUAUAACUGUAGAUACCAGACAUUUUAUGUAGUGUCUAUGACACAUUUUAGUAUGUAUGAGCCAACAAUAGACAUGUCUUUGUCUUGAGGAGUGUCCAUCUGAAUUGAAAAUGUGUCAGCUUUUUUUUAACAUCAUCAACAGACUUCUUAAUUAAGCUGCCAAUACAUACUGCCAAUAGCACUGUGUGCUGUCUGAGAAAUGCAUUGUGUAAGUGCUAUUUCCAUCUUAUUAAAUAAACAAUGUUGCUCUGUAUAAACUGGAUUUAAAGUGUUCUUUGAAUGAGGCAUUAUAUUGCUCCAUAAAUAAUGUGAUGUGAAUUCUCAUAUGAUCCCUUUUAACUUAAUUUCUAAAAAAAUAUUAUUUGCUCCUCAGUAAGGAAUAGCUCUAAUUGGACUGGUAACUUUAGUGAUAUGAUUUGUCUGUAACAGGCUGAAUCGCCCCACUCCCAAACUCCUGGUCGUGAUACUGGAUAUUUGUUAUGCCACUUUUAGUUUGCAUGAGGUAUCUUCCAGGAAGUAUUAGUUAUUAACUUGUGUUCUACUAAACUGUAGAUAUUUAUUUCCUGUUCUGGAAGAUUUCUUGGAGUGUCCAUCUGUGCAUUCCUGGUGCCUAGUGUAGUCUUGCUAAUGGAAUAGCACCUUUAUUGGUGCUACUUAGGGGUUGGUAGCUUACAAUCAAUCUACUUGGAACGUAUCCAAAUAAACUGGAUAUUUUUAU
Molecule: long non-coding RNA, 3407 nt
Filed under: Homo sapiens (human)
Lineage: Eukaryota; Metazoa; Chordata; Mammalia; Primates; Hominidae
Description: NR2F1 regulatory antisense RNA 1
Source: RNAcentral